GUUAGACCCACAGAGAGAGAGAACUGCUCCUUAAAGCAAAUUAUUUUGGCCUUCCGGAUAGCCUGAGCACACUUAUUUCUCAUUUGCCUGAACGACAGCCAGUCACCUUGAGUAUGCGUGUGCUGAGCCUAUCGCCAAAUGCAACUCUUGAGGUGGAGUUACUCAAAGAUCACGGUCGAACUAUUGGCUGAAACUAGGGGCUUCUUUAUGGGGGUGUGUUAAUUAACAAUACCACUGAAAUUAUUUUAAAAAAGGUCCAAGUGUCUUCGACAGAGGAGAUCGAGAUGAUUCUAUACCAUUUUACAGAGGCCAGUUCAUGAAGGAAGGCUUGGUCAUUGAAGUUUUUUAGCAAGCAUCUAUGACACAUCAGGACAGGUCGUUUCACAUGAGCAGCCAUUACGAACACAUGCUGUAAAACAGUGAUCACUAAGGUCAUUACAGAAAACACAGGACUGAUACCUUUCAGGAUAACAAUGAGGAGCGUAGCCUUUUUUGGGUGUUUGGAAUCAUACCUUGUGGGAUUAUUGAUAAUCUGAGAAAGAUUUAGGGAGUCCCAUUGCUUUAGGACCUGGUCAGAUGGUGUAAGCAUGUCCCAGUUUAGGUCACCUAGCAGGACAAAUUCAGACUUAGUGUAAGGGGCCAGGAGAGAGCUUAGGGCAGGUAGGGUAGGGUACAGGCCGAUGGAGGACGAUAGCACCCAGCAACAGUCAAGAGCUAUUUGAAAGUUUAAUACUUAAAAACUGCAAAUCAAAUUGUUUGGAGACAGACUUGGAGAUAACCGAGCACUGAAGGUGAUCCUUGGUAAAGAUUGCCACUCCCCCACCAUUGGAAGGUCUUGCCGGAAAAUGAAUAACCAGAAAGGUUAACAUCAGUAUUCAAAACACUCUUUCUUAACCACGUCUCAGUAAUGACCAACACAUCUGGACUGGAGCUGUGAACCCACACCUUUUAGGUAAUACACUUCUACAGUUAACAUGCAGAAGACCCAGGCUUUUACAAGAGCAGAAAUCAGUGAAGCAGAUAUCAGCGCACAAGUCAGAAUUGGGGCUAGCAACAGUAGGUGGGCCAGAGUGUACAUUUUUAUUUAUUUAUAAAAAUAUACUGGGGUGCAAAGGAGCAAAAUAAAUACCAGUAUGGGGGAUGAGGUAGGUAGAUAGAUGGACUGUUUACAGAUGGGCAAUGUACAGGUGUCGUGAUCUGUAAGCUGCUCUGACAGCUGGUGCUUAAAGUUAGUGAGGGAGAUGUGAGUCUCCAGCUUCAGAGAUUUUUGCAAUUCAUUCCAGUCAUGGGAAGCAGAGAACUGGAAGGAAAGACGACCAAGGGAGGAAUUGGCUUUGGGGGUGACCAGUGAGAUAUACCUGCUGGAGCGUGUGCUACGAGUGGGUGCUGCUAUGGUGACCAGUGAGCUGAGAUAAGGCAGGGCUUUACCUAGCAGAGACUUGUAGAUAACCUGUAGCCAGUGGGUUUGGCGACGAGUAUGAAGCGAGGGCCAACCAACGAGAGCCUACAGGUCGCAAUGGUGGGUAGUGUAUGGGGCUUUGGUGACAAAACGGAUGGCACUGUGAUAGACUGCAUCCAGUUUGUUGAGUAGAGUGUUGGAGGCUAUUUUAUAGAUGACGUCGCCGAAGUCGAGGAUCGGUAGGAUGGUCAGUUUUACGAGGGUAUGUUUGGCAGCAUGAGUGAAGGAUGCUUUGUUGCGAUAAAGGAAGCAGAUUCUAGAUUCUUUAAAUGUGGAUUGGAGAUGCUUAAUGUGAGUCUGGAAGGAGAGUUUACAGCCUAACCAGACACCCAGAUAUUUGUAGUUGUCCACGUAUUCUAAGUGAGAGCCGUCCAGAGUAGUGAUGCUGGAUGGGCGAGCAGGUGCGGGCAGUGAUCGAUUGAAUAGCAUGCAAUUAGUUUUACUUGCGUUUAAGAGCAGUUGGAGGCCACGGAAGGAGAGUUGUAUGGCAUUGAAGCUCGUCUGGAGGUUAGUUAACACAGUGUCCAAGUAGGGGCCAGAAGUAUACAGAAUGGUGUCGUCUGCAUAGAGAUGGAUCAGAGAAUCACCAGCAGCAAGAGCAACAUCAUUGAUGUAUACAGAAAAGAGUCAGCCCGAGAAUUGAACCCUGUGGCACACCCAUAGAAACUGUCAGAGGUCCGGACAACAGGCCCUCCGAUUUGACACACUGAACUCAGAGAAGUAGUUGGUAAACCAGGCGAGGCAAUCAUUUGAGAAACCAUGGCUUUCGACUCUGCCAAUAAGAAUGUUGUGAUUGACAGAGUCGAAAGCCUUGGCCAGGUCUAUGAAUAUCUUAUCGAUGGCGGUUAUGAUGUCGUUUAGAACCUUGAGCGUGGCUGAGGUGCACCCAUGACCAGCUCUGAAACCAGAUUGCAUAGCGGAAAAGGUAUGGUGGGAUUCGAAAUGGUCAGUAAGUACAUGCACAUUUCCAGAAAUCAUCAACAGUAAUACAAUCAAGGCAUGGCAUAGGACAUGGAGAGCUCUGCAGUGGUGAUGUAUGACAUCUGAAUGUGCAUCAGAUGCCAACAAGAUCAUAUUGUACAGAAAUUCCAUCAGGUAACAUGAAUACAAAGUCAGCGAGAGGUGGUUAGAAUGGGAUGGGAGGCCAAGUCAGUGUAACCAAUAGAGAGUCAGAGUCCUGAGUCUGGGAACAAACAGUCUGUCCCACGGUUGGGUAAAUAAAGUUGGUAGUCAACAAAGUAUGCAGGAGUCAUGAGGCAAAUAGCAAAAUGGACAAGAACAUUUUUAAAUAUAUAACGACUUGGGGCUAGCCAUUGUAAGUUCAGAGUCACUCACCCCAACAGUGCGUGUGUGUUGGAGGUGAGUGAAAGCUCGGGAGAGAGGGGUGAGUGUGGUGGAGGUACCUGUACCAGACAGGGGGAGACAGGCCAGGACAGACGGUGAAUAGAUCAUCAGUUGGAAUCCAAGCAGCAGUGCAGCAGGCAUUGGGAGUAGGUGUCACACCCACUUGGGAUAAGCUUUUAUUUCUGGAGGCAGAUUUCUUGUAUAAAAUGCCAGUGAAUGGUCUUUGAACAGCAGGAGGGGGCUUCAGAGGAUGCUUCAAAGACUCCUGACACUUGUUGGGCCCAAGGGCCUUUUAUUUCACACCUUAGUGCUAAUUGAAUUUGUAUCUGGCCUGUCCUUGCAAGCCUGGGAGCCUUAACAUUUUAUUUUUCUUCAUGGCUUUCAAAAUAGCAUCAGACCAAACACUACUCAGUCAGUUCCAGGUUGGAAUGGUGUCCUCAGGUCUCUGCUGUUUGUUGGCUAGAGCACCCUCCAACAUAGCUUGGAAAAAUAAAUGACGUUGAAAGCAGUAAUCUCUCCAGUUAAUUUUGGUCAAAAUGAGGUUGUAGGUUUGGAGUUUUGAUUUGGAGCGAAGGCCGUGCUGUGGAGGGUAGUAUCCUGCAUAUGUACCUGCCGAAAAAUCUAAGUUUAUCUAACUUUAAAUCUAUCCUUUUGUAAAAAUUUAAAAAAGGAAGACCCCGGUAGCUACACCGUUCAGUGUGCCAGCUUCACCAGCUUUUCUUAUGGCACUUCAGAGAUGCUGGGCUCACCCGUGGGCUCUUGCCCACCACAGUAAGGACAGUGGGACGAUAUCUGCCAUGCCCGAUGCAAAACAUGGGAUGAAUGCAUAGUAGAGCUAAUGCUCUUCCCAGAUGAAGCACUGAAGGAUGAUGCCCGCUGCCCCAGACCUCAGUGCAGGGCCACAGAUGAGCUACUGUCACGGGCCUACGACACAACGGCCCACAUGGCCCGCAUUGGGAACUCCCUCUCAGUGCUCAUGCAAGCACAGAACAGGAUGCUCCAGUCAGAGCACGCAGACCUGGACCUUUGCAACCUGAAUGACGCAUCUCUUCAAGCAUUUGCAUUCCUGACCAGAGAGCUAGGCAGACUGAUAUCCGCCCUUGUUGUGAUUCGUUGCUAGGUCUGGCUCGCCCAAGCCCCAAUGUCCGAUGACUCCAGAGGGGCGCUGAGCAAGCUCCCAGUUGUCCCCGGACUGCUCUUCGGCCCCGCGGCUGAGCAGGCCAUUGAAAGUAGAAAACAGCGCAUUAAAACGUACAUUUAAGUCAUUUAGCAGACGCUCUUAUCCAGAGCGACUUACAAAUUGGUGCAUUCACCAUAAAGAUGGGAUUAUGGGUAGAAGAGACGACAGGGGUAAGAAGUGAGGUGGGGGGGGGGUUAAUAUAAAGAUGGGAUUAUGGGUAGAAGAGACGACAGGGAUAAGAAGUGAGGUGGGGGGGGUAAUAUAAAGAUGGGACUAUGGGUAGAAGAGACGACAGGGGUAAGAAGUGAGGUGGGGGGGUUAAUAUAAAGAUGGGAUUAUGGGUAGAAGAGACGACAGGGGUAAGAAGUGAGGUGAGGGGGGUUAAUAUAAAGAUGGGACUAUGGGUAGAAGAGACGACAGGGGUAAGAAGUGAGGUGGGGGGUUAAUAUAAAGAUGGGACUAUGGGUAGAAGAGACGACAGGGGUAAGAAGUGAGGUGGGGGGGUUAAUAUAAAGAUGGGAUUAUGGGUAGAAGAGACGACAGGGAUAAGAAGUGAGGUGGGGGGGGGGGGGGUAAUAUAAAGAUGGGACUAUGGGUAGAAGAGACGACAGGGAUAAGAAGUGAGGUGGGGGGGGUUAAUAUAAAGAUGGGACUAUGGGUAGAAGAGACGACAGGGGUAAGAAGUGAGGUGGGGGGUGAAUAUAAAGAUGGGAUUAUGGGUAGAAGAGACGACAGGGAUAAGAAGUGAGGUGGGGGGGGGUUAAUAUAAAGAUGGGACUAUGGGUAGAAGAGACGACAGGGAUAAGAAGUGAGGUGGGGGGGGGUG
Oncorhynchus keta (chum salmon) is the source of this 4809-nucleotide long non-coding RNA. RefSeq lists it as uncharacterized. The record is from RefSeq and is a predicted model, not a curated record. NCBI's taxonomy places the organism in Eukaryota, Metazoa, Chordata, Actinopteri, Salmoniformes, Salmonidae. The transcript has 3 exons.